Mycena leptocephala is the source of this 92-nucleotide non-coding RNA. NCBI's taxonomy places the organism in Eukaryota, Fungi, Basidiomycota, Agaricomycetes, Agaricales, Mycenaceae. The record is from the annotation of a GenBank genome assembly.
GCCCACAUAGAUCAGUUGGUAGAUCGCCUUCUGUUAUUAUUAUGCCAUGACGUAUUAUAUUUGAAGGAGAUGGAGGUCCCCUCCUGUGGGCA